GUGAUCUAGCCAUGGGCAGGUUGAAGGUUGGGUAACACUAACUGGAGGACCGAACCGACUAAUGUUGAAAAAUUAGCGGAUGACUUGUGGCUGGGGGUGAAAGGCCAAUCAAACCGGGAGAUAGCUGGUUCUCCCCGAAAGCUAUUUAGGUAGCGCCUCGUGAAUUCAUCUCCGGGGGUAGAGCACUGUUUCGGCAAGGGGGUCAUCCCGACUUACCAACCCGAUGCAAACUGCGAAUACCGGAGAAUGUUAUCACGGGAGACACACGGCGGGUGCUAACGUCCGUCGUGAAGAGGGAAACAACCCAGACCGCCAGCUAAGGUCCCAAAGUCAUGGUUAAGUGGGAAACGAUGUGGGAAGGCCCAGACAGCCAGGAUGUUGGCUUAGAAGCAGCCAUCAUUUAAAGAAAGCGUAAUAGCUCACUGGUCGAGUCGGCCUGCGCGGAAGAUGUAACGGGGCUAAACCAUGCACCGAAGCUGCGGCAGCGACGCUUAUGCGUUGUUGGGUAGGGGAGCGUUCUGUAAGCCUGUGAAGGUGUGCUGUGAGGCAUGCUGGAGGUAUCAGAAGUGCGAAUGCUGACAUAAGUAACGAUAAAGCGGGUGAAAAGCCCGCUCGCCGGAAGACCAAGGGUUCCUGUCCAACGUUAAUCGGGGCAGGGUGAGUCGACCCCUAAGGCGAGGCCGAAAGGCGUAGUCGAUGGGAAACAGGUUAAUAUUCCUGUACUUGGUGUUACUGCGAAGGGGGGACGGAGAAGGCUAUGUUGGCCGGGCGACGGUUGUCCCGGUUUAAGCGUGUAGGCUGGUUUUCCAGGCAAAUCCGGAAAAUCAAGGCUGAGGCGUGAUGACGAGGCACUACGGUGCUGAAGCAACAAAUGCCCUGCUUCCAGGAAAAGCCUCUAAGCAUCAGGUAACAUCAAAUCGUACCCCAAACCGACACAGGUGGUCAGGUAGAGAAUACCAAGGCGCUUGAGAGAACUCGGGUGAAGGAACUAGGCAAAAUGGUGCCGUAACUUCGGGAGAAGGCACGCUGAUAUGUAGGUGAAGUCCCUCGCGGAUGGAGCUGAAAUCAGUCGAAGAUACCAGCUGGCUGCAACUGUUUAUUAAAAACACAGCACUGUGCAAACACGAAAGUGGACGUAUACGGUGUGACGCCUGCCCGGUGCCGGAAGGUUAAUUGAUGGGGUUAGCCGCAAGGCGAAGCUCUUGAUCGAAGCCCCGGUAAACGGCGGCCGUAACUAUAACGGUCCUAAGGUAGCGAAAUUCCUUGUCGGGUAAGUUCCGACCUGCACGAAUGGCGUAAUGAUGGCCAGGCUGUCUCCACCCGAGACUCAGUGAAAUUGAACUCGCUGUGAAGAUGCAGUGUACCCGCGGCAAGACGGAAAGACCCCGUGAACCUUUACUAUAGCUUGACACUGAACAUUGAGCCUUGAUG
RNAcentral lists this ribosomal RNA (1431 nucleotides) under Escherichia coli. RNAcentral's name for it is "partial 23S ribosomal RNA". It matches the Rfam family "Bacterial large subunit ribosomal RNA", at positions 725 to 2136 of the family's 2925-position model. Lineage: Bacteria; Pseudomonadati; Pseudomonadota; Gammaproteobacteria; Enterobacterales; Enterobacteriaceae. The record is from RNAcentral.